This 497-nucleotide ribosomal RNA is filed under the name uncultured bacterium. Its description in RNAcentral is "partial 16S ribosomal RNA". It matches the Rfam family "Bacterial small subunit ribosomal RNA", at positions 28 to 507 of the family's 1533-position model. The record is from RNAcentral.
GAUGAACGCUGGCGGCGUGCCUAAUACAUGCAAGUCGAGCGAACGGACGAGAAGCUUGCUUCUCUGAUGUUAGCGGCGGACGGGUGAGUAACACGUGGAUAACCUACCUAUACGACUGGGAUAACUUCGGGAAACCGGGGCUAAUACCGGAUAAUAUUUUGAACCUCAUGGUUCAAAAGUGAAAGACGGUCUUGCUGUCACUUAUAGCUGGAUCCGCGCUGCAUUAGCUAGUUGGUAAGGUAACGGCUUAACAAGGCAACGAUGCAUAGCCGACCCGAGAGGGUGAUCGGCCACACGGGAACUGAGACACGGUCCAGACUCCUACGGGAGGCAGCAGUAGGGAAUCUUCCGCAAUGGGCGAAAGCCUGACGGAGCAACGCCGCGUGAGGGAUGAAGGUCUUCGGAUCGUAAAGCUCUGUUAGUAGGGAAGAACAUAUGUGUAAGUAACUGUGCACAUCUUGACGGUACCUAAUCAGAAAGCCACGGCUAACUACGUG